Molecule: ribosomal RNA, 301 nt
Filed under: uncultured bacterium
Lineage: Bacteria
Description: partial 16S ribosomal RNA
Rfam family: Bacterial small subunit ribosomal RNA
Source: RNAcentral
CAGUAGCCGCGGUAACACGAAGGGUGCAAGCGUUACUCGGAAUUACUGGGCGUAAAGCGUGCGUAGGUGGUGGUUUAAGUCCGUUGUGAAAGCCCUGGGCUCAACCUGGGAAUUGCAGUGGAUACUGGGUCACUAGAGUGUGGUAGAGGAUAGUGGAAUUUCCGGUGUAGCAGUGAAAUGCGUAGAGAUCGGAAGGAACAUCUGUGGCGAAGGCGACUAUCUGGGCCAACACUGACACUGAGGCACGAAAGCGUGGGGAGCAAACAGGAUUAGAUACCCCAGUAGUCCCUGUCUCUUAUAC